This 503-nucleotide ribosomal RNA is filed under the name uncultured bacterium. RNAcentral describes it as "partial 16S ribosomal RNA". It matches the Rfam family "Bacterial small subunit ribosomal RNA", at positions 30 to 523 of the family's 1533-position model. The record is from RNAcentral.
AUUGAACGCUGGCGGCAGGCUUAACACAUGCAAGUCGAGCGGGGUGAUGGUGCUUGCACUAUCACUUAGCGGCGGACGGGUGAGUAAUGCUUAGGAAUCUGCCUAUUAGUGGGGGACAACAUCUCGAAAGGGAUGCUAAUACCGCAUACGUCCUACGGGAGAAAGCAGGGGAUCACUUGUGACCUUGCGCUAAUAGAUGAGCCUAAGUCGGAUUAGCUAGUUGGUGGGGUAAAGGCCUACCAAGGCGACGAUCUGUAGCGGGUCUGAGAGGAUGAUCCGCCGCACUGGGACUGUGACACGGCCCAGACUCCUACGGGAGGCAGCAGUGGGGAAGAUUGGACAAUGGGGGGAACCCUGAUCCAGCCAUGCCGCGUGUGUGAAGAAGGCCUUAUGGUUGUAAAGCACUUUAAGCGAGGAGGAGGCUCUUUUGGUUAAUACCCAAGAUGAGUGGACGUUACUCGCAGAAUAAGCACCGGCUAACUCUGUGCCAGCAGCCGCGGUAA